Molecule: ribosomal RNA, 497 nt
Filed under: uncultured bacterium
Lineage: Bacteria
Description: partial 16S ribosomal RNA
Rfam family: Bacterial small subunit ribosomal RNA
Source: RNAcentral
GAUGGACGCUGGCGGCGUGCCUAAUACAUGCAAGUCGAGCGAACAGACGAGGAGCUUGCUCCUCUGACGUUAGCGGCGGACGGGUGAGUAACACGUGGAUAACCUACCUAUAAGACUGGGAUAACUUCGGGAAACCGGAGCUAAUACCGGAUAAUAUAUUGAACCGCAUGGUUCAAUAGUGAAAGACGGUUUUGCUGUCACUUAUAGAUGGAUCCGCGCCGCAUUAGCUAGUUGGUAAGGUAACGGCUUACCAAGGCGACGAUGCGUAGCCGACCUGAGAGGGUGACCGGCCACACUGGAACGGAGACACGGUCCAGACUCCGACGGGAGGCAGCAGUAGGGAAUCUUCCGCAAUGGGCGAAAGCCUGACGGAGCAACGCCGCGUGAGUGAUGAAGGUCUUCGGAUCGUAAAACUCUGUUAUUAGGGAAGAACAAAUGUGUAAGUAACUAUGCACGUCUUGACGGUACCUAAUCAGAAAGCCACGGCUAACUACGUG